This 22647-nucleotide long non-coding RNA is filed under the name Solanum lycopersicum (tomato). RNAcentral describes it as "long non-coding RNA (SLYC_LNC001427)". The record is from RNAcentral. Lineage: Eukaryota; Viridiplantae; Streptophyta; Magnoliopsida; Solanales; Solanaceae.
CAUCAAGUAAUAACAUCUCGCAAAAUUCGCGGCUUCCAAUUUUGAGGUCUUCUAUAUCAUCGUAACAAUUCCUUGCUUCCUCCUCCAACUCAUUGAUGCAACUAUCCACAUCAAGCCUCUCCUUUCGUCUAAGAAACCGUCGUAGGUACAAUAGUUUGUUCUUUUGCAUUGGACGAAAUUGAGGUUUUCCAUUAUGGUAAGGACCAAUAGAGACCAUCUUUGGUGUAUAAGCAUCUGGAUUUGAUUCACGUAGCCCCACAUUUACUUUGAAUAUGCUAAUUGGUUUAACACGCGAAUUGAAUAAAUUCUCAAAUAAAGGAUCCACUUUCCUCCCUCCUUCUAUCUGUAACAAAAAGAGUAAAAUGUUUAUUAGAACCAAUUUUUUUUUGUUAAGUGUAAAAGGUCUCAAUUUUGGAGAUCGAAUAUGUCUCGAUAAAAAAAAAUUAGUGCAUAUAUACAUUCUUUCUUUCUUUAUGCAUUUUAUAAACACGAUGAAUUAAGAAUUGUUAGAAUGAUAAAGAUUUUGAUAAUUGACAAAUACAAAAACAGAUGAAAGAAACAAACGUGUUCCUUACAGAACGAAUCCGACUUGGAUAAGGAGAACGUCAACCACGUGAAUUAGAAGUUAUAAAGCUGUGGAAUUAUUAUUUUUUCGACAAGCAAAAAGUACAAAAAGUUUCCUUUUAUAAAGGAGUUCAAAGCCAAGUGAAAGAAGGAAAACUAAUUCCUAUUUAAGGAAAUCUAUUUAAGGAAAUUGUGUAUUCUUAUUUAUUAAGGAAAUUCUGUAGAAAAGGAGUCCAAGUAGAUUUGUAGAAGGCAAAUACAAGUUGAAUUAUUCAAGGAUUUGUUGAAGUUUUGAUCUAUAAAUAGGGAGCUAUUUGCAUCAAAAAAAAUUGCGCACUUACAUAAAGAGAAGAUCAAAACACGAUCAAGAAGUUUGAAAGAGUUUUGAGAUUUAUUGAGAGUGUAGCAAUUUGUGAGGAAAAAUUGUAAGAUUGUAUUCAAGAGUCUUGUUUACAAUCUGAGUUUUGUGAGUAGGAGUUGUUCAACAAGUUGUAGAACUUGAAGAACAUUGGAAGAUAUUAAACCGGGGGUUUUUGUGUCUUUGGGUAGCUAGAAAUUAGAGUUUAUAAUUUCUUAGCUAGGAAUUAGAGUUUAUAAUUCCUCUAGGAAUUAGAGUUUAUAAUUCCUUAGGUUACAUAACUUUGUAAUCUUUUGUUGAGACUUGAAAUUUAAUAAAGUGGAGUUAAAUCCUACAGAGGUGUAGGUCGUGAUUUUUACCCUUGUGAGUUGGGGUUUUCCGCGAUAGAAUAUUGUGUCAUUAUUUUAUUUACUUCACAAAACGUAAUUGCUGUAAUUUCUCAAAGGAACAUAUAGAAUAAACCUGUUCCUAAGGCGAAUUUGGGGGUCAGAAUUCCAACAAGAAUUUUUUAAUUCUAAAAAUAUCAUUUGACUUUAAAAACUUACUCAUCUAUGUUCUUUGUCCCUAAAAUUAUAGGAAAGGAAAUAAUCUAAAAAAUUAUAUAUUUGUAUAGUUGAGAGAAAAAAAAACCUCAUCUUGAUAAGUUUGAGAAAGCAGUGGAAUUUGAUCAUCUAUUUCAAUGGAGUGUUCCAUCCCUUUUCCUUGAACGAUAAAUUCUACAAAAAACACAUUCUUUGUAAUUAGAUACCAUGACUAUUAUGGUUAUUAUCCAAAGCAAUAAAUUAAUGGCAAAUUGAGGGAGUAUUAGACACUUAAUUGCCCAAAAAAAAUAAAAAUUAAGAAUAAUGUGUAUUGUAUACCUUAAAGGGGUUGUUUGGUAGCAUAUUAAAGUUAUGAGAAAUGUAGGGAUUAGUUAUAACUUAUGAGGAAAUCUAUAUACUUUCUCCAUUUCAAAAAGAAUGCCCUAGUUUGACUUGGAACAAAGUUUAAGAAAAGAAAGAAGACUUUUUAAUUUUGUGGUUUUAAAGUGUUGCCAAAAAGGAAAUAGAGACAUUCUUUUUUAAACGGAGGGAGUAUUAUUUUAUGUAUGUAUUAUUAAUAUGUAAAGAUUAGUUAUUCAUGCAUAAGUUAUUCUAUUCUAUCUCGCAUAAAAUAAUACAUAGAUUCUCUCAUAUCUUAUAAUAUAUAUACAUCUUAUACGAGUUUCUAAAUUGUCAAUCAAAUGUCAUAUUAAUGCCUACCUACCAAUUAACACCAUAUAAAUUAUACAAUAAUUAAUAAGUGAAUAACUUUUUCCUUAUAAAUUGAUAUUAUUACCUCUUUGGUUUGGCUGUUUCUUCUUUUGUAUUUAUUCAACUCUUGCUUCUCUCGGAUUUUUCAUUGCUAUGAAGUACUUAUUAUAUAGAGAAAAAAAAGAAGAGAGAGAUUGAUAAAUACUGUUAAUUGUAGGGUAGGGGGUGUCAAUGUUAGGUUCGAUCGAUUAUUUUAUAAAAUUUAAAUAAAGGUAUAGUAUCAUCUUCAACUUCAUCAUCUCAUUUUUUUUUGUGGUAUCCACAAUUUCUUCUAUGUUCUGGACCUCUUAACAUGUUUCACUGUCACUCGGAUAAUCCAACAGGUUAUUGACAUCCAUUUUAUUUUGGUAACUGAGACCAUUAAUCAAUGACCUCAAGUUCAUUAGUGAGGUAGGUUCAUUAUAAUUCUCUGAGAUUGCAUCCCCUGAACGAAUUUUAUAGUGUCGAAAAUUAUUUGUGAUUAUCUCUUGCCGAACAUUUUUUGUCCGAACAGGGAUUGCAAAAUUCACAACAUCCAAAAUAUUAAUCUUUAGUGGAUCAGUUUGUCCCACUACAUAGUCUUCUGAUAUCCUACAAUGAAAUAUCUUGAAAACUCUUAUCAUCCCAACAACACAAGAACGAAAUUAGUAAGAUACAAUAAUUUUGAUGUAUUCGCUGUACUUUAUGUAUCACAUUUUUUUAAUGUGAAAUCAAUAAAUAUGAUACAUAAAUUAGUAAGAUACAAUGAUUUUGAUAUAUUCAAAAUUAACCUUCAUUAAAACUUAAAUCAUUCUUUAAAUUAAUAUAUAUAUACUAUCGAUUACAUAAUAUCUCUAUAAAAUAAUAAAAUGUCAUGGUCCAACUAUAUUAAUUUAUAGAGAUUUUACCGUAGUAAAAAGGACUACAUUUUCUCGUUGCUGUUAAUAGAAGUCGUAGGACUAUUCUUGUAAUUUCUUAUUCUUCGACUUCUAGCUAUUGCUAUUUAUGAUUUAAUGUAGUUCAAUUAUAAUAUUAUUUUGUUGUAGUACUGUUAUGCUAUACUAUUUUUUUUUAAAAAAAUUAUCUUUUGCUUUUUGUACUUAAUUUUAUUACGUCUUUUCUGAAUUGUUUUUAUCUUGAGCCGAAGAUCUAUCAAGAAUAACCUCUUCAUAUCACAUAAUACCAAGUAUACUUUCGUAGAAUAUUGUUAAAAACUCUCUAGACAUUUUUACAAUUUAAAAAGUGAUGAAUCAAAAAAUAUGAAAGGCAGUAACAAUCGAUAUUCAUCCCACUAUUUUACCGUAAUGUAAAAUGGAGUUAAACAAAGAUAGAAAAUUAAAACGUAUGGCCUCAAGAAUUAGGUGUACUAAAAUUAAGUAUCUAUUUAAUAAGAGAUUUAGUAUCGUGGCUGUUCGAUAUUUAAUAUUUUAUAUUUUUAUUGGGUGUGUUCGGUAAGAAGGAAAAUGUUUUUCGUUGAAAAUUUUUCCUUAAAAAAUAUGUUGAUUUCUAACUUAUUUUCUCAUGUUUGGUUGGUGAGUUAAAAAUAUUUCCUAUUAUUUAAUUAAUGAAUGAAAAUAUUUUUUUCUCUAGAAUUUAUCUUUUAUGUUAUGAAUAGAGAGUAGAAAAUCUCUUUAGGAAAAUAGUUUCUAACAUAAAAAUCAACCUCACCCCAACAACCGAUUCGAGACUGAUCCCCAUGACCGAUUCGUGAUCUGACAUCAAUCCCCAACUUAGGAGACCAUAACUCCUAAUCCAAAACUUGGUAUUCGAAUUGAGACCCGACCCUGACCCUGACAUCUGAUCCAAAACAUGACUUCAACUCCCAAUUCGAGACUCGAUCCCAACCUCAACACCUGAACCAACACAAGAGCCCGACGAUCUAUUCAAAAUGCAACUCUGAGACCUAAACCUAACUUUUGCCUGAAACCUAACAUUCAAAUAAUGACCCGACCCCGACACUUGCACAAGCAUUCGAUAUGGGACCUGCCCCCGACUCCCGAUCUAGAACUCAACUUUCGAACGGGGACGGUGGGACCCAACUUGACUUCCGACCCUAGAUUCGACUUCCUACCCAACUGGGAACCUUACUUCCGAAUCGGGAUUUAAAUUUCUUAUUUUUUAAAAAAAUUAAUUUUUUUUGGGGUGGGGUGAUAGGGAGUUGAGAUAGGAGUGGAAUAAAAAUAACUAAAAUAGUUAAAAUUUGAAAUAUUUGAAAAAACAAACAAACUGGGGAUGGUAGGGGUGGGCCGGUGGGGGUAAAAAUCCCAAUUUUUUUUAAAAAUUCGAGGUUUUCAAUCUUUUUUUCGUUGGGGGCUGAGGCUAGUUUGGAGGUAGGAAUUAAUAAAAUGAAAUUAUUUUUUAAAAAGAAAUUUUAAUUUUUUUAAUUUUAACUUGGAUGGGAAGGGUAGGGAUACGAGGCGAGGCAAGGAAAGAUUCGUUAUUUGAGGUUGGAGAAGAGUUUAAAUAUUUACUUUAUUUUUUAAGGUAAGUUAUCUUUUAAAAUUUGAAAAAAAAAGUUGAAUUGAAAAAUAUUUUUUAAAUAUUUAAUCCAACCGAAUAUAUCGCUCAAACACACCUGUUCUUGGCCGACGACUCAAGUCAAUGACUAUAUAUUUUCUACUAUAUUUAACUUUUGAGUACGAAAAAGAAAAUUAGGUCUAAAAUUAAUAUCACAAAGAUAAGGUAGUUGAGAAGGUUCUUUAAUACCACAACAAAAAGUACAAACAUAUUAUUUAAUUUUAGUUUCAAGAAGACUUUAUUUCUAUGUCUCCUUUUGAGUAAAUUAAUUAUCAAAGUAUGUGAUCAACGAGGAUCGAUUUGAAGUUGAGAGUACUCUUUAUUUUUAAUCAAAAGUCUUAACUGUUAAGAAACACUUUACUUUUUUUUUUCUUUUAACCAUUAAUAUGGAACUUUGUUCACACAUUUUCAUUAAUCGAACAGCAAAGAAACUAAGUUGAAUCCUAUCCUAUCUUGCCAAACCACUUACCAGUAUGAAAUAAUAUAUAUAUAUAUAUAUAUAUAUAUAUAUAUAUAUAUAUAUAUAUAUAUAUAUAUAUAUAUCGAACUUUACAAGACUUGUUUAAUUCAAAUUGAAACUUUUGAAGGUGUAUUUAGUCAACGUAGAAUUAUAAGCGAAUACUUAAGCUUCCCCUUUCACUUCGUUUUGAUGUCUAGUUAUAUUGUUCAUUUCCUCAUGUAUAAAUUACUUCCAUUUAAAAAAAAACAUUAACUUUUUUACCGUUUAUUUAAAAAAAAGAACGACUUUUUAUUAUAUUCUUGAUAACAAUACUUUAAUUUCAAUUUUUCACGUGAUAUAUUUAAGAUAAUAAUAUUAAAAAAUAUUUGACAUAUUUUUAAUUUAGAAUUACUAAAUUAUUAUUUUCUUUAAAAAAACUUUAUGUUAAAUUAAAUUAGGUCAUUAUUUUCAUAAUAGAAAAAAUAUUAUAUUCUCAAAUAUUUCACUUUCAGUGCUAGAAAGUAAGGUGCAAAAAUUAAUUUUACAACCUGUCCACCAUUAAUAAUGUAUUAAUACACAUGAUUCACACAUGUUUUUUAAAUGCUUACUUCCUCUUCGAUAUACUCUCUUCUUAGUACAUUGUUUUAUUUUGGAGUAAUAUUCAGAUUUUUUUUCUUGCUUGUUUUUUAAUCGAUAUUUCUAUUGUUUAAAUUUGCCUAAUCUUUAAACAAAUGUUUAUAGUAUGUCAAAAAAAAUUCUUUUUUUACCAUGAACAAGCCACAAAAGUUUAUAGUUUGUGUAAAAAUCAAUGUCCCUAAUAUCUAGUUUAUCUUUAAGUAUCCAACUAUAUCUAUUGUCUUCUUCGUCAGCUUCAAGGAACUAGUUAAUUUUUUUCCUCGACAACAAGACUAAAUUUUCGUAUUGAUAUAACAACAAAUCCUCGUAAAUGAACAUAGUAUACACUAUAAAAUUGAAGUAGUAGAUUUUCAUAUAGAAUGGAUUAAUCCUCUCUUAUAGAUACAUUUAACAAGUUGUCAUUUAAAAAAUUAAAAAAAAAAAUUACUAAUAAAUUAAAAAUGUGAUACGGAAUUCUAGAAGUAGAGAAGUAAUGUAUUUUUUAUGUCAAGUAUAUCAUAAAAAAAAAACAACAUUAAAUGAUAUUGUAAUACUAAAACAAACGUAAUUGAUAUUUCUAAAUAAUUUUUUCCAAAUAUGAAUCACUAUCCAGAGAACUACUCCUUUUUUGAUCUAGAAAUGUAUAAUCAUGAUUUUUCUAUAGACACAUUACAUAUAUAACAUGGUUUUUUUGACAAAUAAUGUUACCAGGAGUAUUAUUUAAUUCUGUCUGCCAUAACAUUAGCGAUAAGUAAACAUAUUACUUUUCCAUAUCCCACAAGUGAGAUCACACAAAGUAUAUAUGUUACUGUUGUGAGUGAAGCGGUUGAUCAAUUCAAUUUUGCUAUUGGAAAAGUACUUAGUACCAAAUGAAACUCAAGGAGAUUUCCAUCUUCAGCUAGUCGAUUCCAAACUCCCCUAGCUAGUAGGGCUCCAUAUGAACAUUGGAACAAUAAUGAGAAAAAUGCUACUUUACAUGCAUAGACCUUUUUCUAUCGGCGAAAUGCAUUUUAUUACAUACUUUGAGAAUGAACUAAAGAUUAAAAAUUUACCUCAAAUCACAAGCAAGUUUGCCUCAAAUAGAAAUAUGAAUUUUAUAAAUAUGAGCUGAAAUUAUUAGCUUUAAUCAGUAGUACCCCAUAAUGGAGGUGAGACAAUAUUAAGCUCAUCAACACACAAAUUUCAUAACGAGGAAUCAUUUGAUGAGUCAAUAAAUAACUACAACCCAUAACAAAGAUUACUUAUUAACAUAACCGGUAAAAGUCAGAACAGUCUGUAUAACACACCAAUUUGAUGAUGUCGUCUUGUUUUUCCUCUUCUUUAUAGUCCUCUCGAAUAAAUUCAAUCACAAAACAAUCAUUAAACAACAAUAUUUUUAAAAAAUUGUCAACAAUAUCAGUGUCAAGGUUGUCGUUAUAGCACUUUAGUGCAACGUUUUUUAUUCUCUCCAAUUCAUUGAUGCAACUUUCAACAUUAAGCCCAUUUUCCCUCCGGAGAUACCGUCGUAGGUACAACAAUUUGUACUUUUUUAUGGAGCCAAAUUGAGGAUUUUUCUUGUGAUAAGGACCAAUGGAUAUUAGCAUUGGCGUAUAAGCAUCUUCAUUUGAUUUUCCUAGCCCCACAUUUAGUAAUAUGAUUGCAGAUUAUGCAGUUUCCAAUUUAAGGUAUUCUUAUCAUCGUAACAAUUUCUUCUUCCUCUUUGAAUUCAUAGAUGCAACUAUCCACAUCAAGCCUCUCCUUUCGUCUAAGAAAGUAAUCGUAGGUACAAUAGUAAAAAUUGCUUUUGCAUUGGACGAAAUUGAGGUUUUCCAUUAUUAUAAGGAACAAUAGAGACCAUCUUGGUGUAUAAGCAUCUGGAUUUGAUUCACGUAGCCCACAUUUACUUUGAAUAUGCUAAUUGGUUUAACACGCGAAUUGAAUAAAUUUCAAAUAAAGGAUCCACUUUCCUCCCUCCUUCUAUCUGUAACCUUUUGAGUAAAAUGUUUAUUAGAACCAAUUUUUUUUUGUUAAGUGUGGUCUCAAUUUUGAGAGAUCGAAUAUGUCUCGAUAAAAAAAAACAUUAGUGCAUAUAUACAUUCUUUAGAGCUUUAUGCAUUUUCAUAAACACGAUGAAUUAAGAAUUGUUAGAAUGAUCAAGAUUUUGAUAAUUGACAAAUACAAAAACAGAUGAAAGAAACAAACGUGUUCCUUACAGAACGAAUCCGACUUGGAUAAGGAGAACGUCAACCACGUGAAUUAGAAGUUAUAAAGCUGUGGAAUUAUUAUUUUUUCGACAAGCAAAAAGUACAAAAAGUUUCCUUUUAUAAAGGAGUUCAAAGCCAAGUGAAAGAAGGAAAACUAAUUCCUAUUUAAGGAAAUCUAUUUAAGGAAAUUGUGUAUUCUUAUUUAUUAAGGAAAUUCUGUAGAAAAGGAGUCCAAGUAGAUUUGUAGAAGGCAAAUACAAGUUGAAUUAUUCAAGGAUUUGUUGAAGUUUUGAUCUAUAAAUAGGGAGCUAUUUGCAUCAAAAAAAAAUUGCGCACUUACAUAAAGAGAAGAUCAAAACACGAUCAAGAAGUUUGAAAGAGUUUUGAGAUUUAUUGAGAGUGUAGCAAUUUGUGAGGAAAAAUUGUAAGAUUGUAUUCAAGAGUCUUGUUUACAAUCUGAGUUUUGUGAGUAGGAGUUGUUCAACAAGUUGUAGAACUUGAAGAACAUUGGAAGAUAUUAAACCGGGGGUUUUUGUGUCUUUGGGUAGCUAGAAAUUAGAGUUUAUAAUUUCUUAGCUAGGAAUUAGAGUUUAUAAUUCCUCUAGGAAUUAGAGUUUAUAAUUCCUUAGGUUACAUAACUUUGUAAUCUUUUGUUGAGACUUGAAAUUUAAUAAAGUGGAGUUAAAUCCUACAGAGGUGUAGGUCGUGAUUUUUACCCUUGUGAGUUGGGGUUUUCCGCGAUAGAAUAUUGUGUCAUUAUUUUAUUUACUUCACAAAACGUAAUUGCUGUAAUUUCUCAAAGGAACAUAUAGAAUAAACCUGUUCCUAAGGCGAAUUUGGGGGUCAGAAUUCCAACAAGAAUUUUUAAUUCUAAAAAUAUCAUUUGACUUUAAAAACUUACUCAUCUAUGUUCUUUGUCCCUAAAAUUAUAGGAAAGAAAAUAAUCUAAAAAAUUAUAUAUUUGUAUAGUUGAGAGAAAAAAAACCUCAUCUUGAUAAGUUUGAGAAAGCAGUGGAAUUUGAUCAUCUAUUUCAAUGGAGUGUUCCAUCCCUUUUCCUUGAACGAUAAAUUCUACAAAAAACACAUUCUUUGUAAUUAGAUACCAUGACUAUUAUGGUUAUUAUCCAAAGCAAUAAAUUAAUGGCAAAUUGAGGGAGUAUUAGACACUUAAUUGCCCAAAAAAAAUAAAAUUAAGAAUAAUGUGUAUUGUAUACCUUAAAGGGGUUGUUUGGUAGCAUAUUAAAGUUAUGAGAAAUGUAGGGAUUAGUUAUAACUUAUGAGGAAAUCUAUAUACUUUCUCCAUUUCAAAAAGAAUGCCCUAGUUUGACUUGGAACAAAGUUUAAGAAAAGAAAGAAGACUUUUUAAUUUUGUGGUUUUAAAGUGUUGCCAAAAAGGAAAUAGAGACAUUCUUUUUUAAACGGAGGGAGUAUUAUUUUAUGUAUGUAUUAUUAAUAUGUAAAGAUUAGUUAUUCAUGCAUAAGUUAUUCUAUUCUAUCUCGCAUAAAAUAAUACAUAGAUUCUCUCAUAUCUUAUAAUAUAUAUACAUCUUAUACGAGUUUCUAAAUUGUCAAUCAAAUGUCAUAUUAAUGCCUACCUACCAAUUAACACCAUAUAAAUUAUACAAUAAUUAAUAAGUGAAUAACUUUUUCCUUAUAAAUUGAUAUUAUUACCUCUUUGGUUUGGCUGUUUCUUCUUUUGUAUUUAUUCAACUCUUGCUUCUCUCGGAUUUUUCAUUGCUAUGAAGUACUUAUUAUAUAGAGAAAAAAAAGAAGAGAGAGAUUGAUAAAUACUGUUAAUUGUAGGGUAGGGGGUGUCAAUGUUAGGUUCGAUCGAUUAUUUUAUAAAAUUUAAAUAAAGGUAUAGUAUCAUCUUCAACUUCAUCAUCUCAUUUUUUUUUUGUGGUAUCCACAAUUUCUUCUAUGUUCUGGACCUCUUAACAUGUUUCACUGUCACUCGGAUAAUCCAACAGGUUAUUGACAUCCAUUUUAUUUUGGUAACUGAGACCAUUAAUCAAUGACCUCAAGUUCAUUAGUGAGGUAGGUUCAUUAUAAUUCUCUGAGAUUGCAUCCCCUGAACGAAUUUUAUAGUGUCGAAAAUUAUUUGUGAUUAUCUCUUGCCGAACAUUUUUUGUCCGAACAGGGAUUGCAAAAUUCACAACAUCCAAAAUAUUAAUCUUUAGUGGAUCAGUUUGUCCCACUACAUAGUCUUCUGAUAUCCUACAAUGAAAUAUCUUGAAAACUCUUAUCAUCCCAACAACACAAGAACGAAAUUAGUAAGAUACAAUAAUUUUGAUGUAUUCGCUGUACUUUAUGUAUCACAUUUUUUUAAUGUGAAAUCAAUAAAUAUGAUACAUAAAUUAGUAAGAUACAAUGAUUUUGAUAUAUUCAAAAUUAACCUUCAUUAAAACUUAAAUCAUUCUUUAAAUUAAUAUAUAUAUACUAUCGAUUACAUAAUAUCUCUAUAAAAUAAUAAAAUGUCAUGGUCCAACUAUAUUAAUUUAUAGAGAUUUUACCGUAGUAAAAAGGACUACAUUUUCUCGUUGCUGUUAAUAGAAGUCGUAGGACUAUUCUUGUAAUUUCUUAUUCUUCGACUUCUAGCUAUUGCUAUUUAUGAUUUAAUGUAGUUCAAUUAUAAUAUUAUUUUGUUGUAGUACUGUUAUGCUAUACUAUUUUUUUUUAAAAAAAUUAUCUUUUGCUUUUUGUACUUAAUUUUAUUACGUCUUUUCUGAAUUGUUUUUAUCUUGAGCCGAAGAUCUAUCAAGAAUAACCUCUUCAUAUCACAUAAUACCAAGUAUACUUUCGUAGAAUAUUGUUAAAAACUCUCUAGACAUUUUUACAAUUUAAAAAGUGAUGAAUCAAAAAAUAUGAAAGGCAGUAACAAUCGAUAUUCAUCCCACUAUUUUACCGUAAUGUAAAAUGGAGUUAAACAAAGAUAGAAAAUUAAAACGUAUGGCCUCAAGAAUUAGGUGUACUAAAAUUAAGUAUCUAUUUAAUAAGAGAUUUAGUAUCGUGGCUGUUCGAUAUUUAAUAUUUUAUAUUUUUAUUGGGUGUGUUCGGUAAGAAGGAAAAUGUUUUUCGUUGAAAAUUUUUCCUUAAAAAAUAUGUUGAUUUCUAACUUAUUUUCUCAUGUUUGGUUGGUGAGUUAAAAAUAUUUCCUAUUAUUUAAUUAAUGAAUGAAAAUAUUUUUUCUCUAGAAUUUAUCUUUUAUGUUAUGAAUAGAGAGUAGAAAAUCUCUUUAGGAAAAUAGUUUCUAACAUAAAAAUCAACCUCACCCCAACAACCGAUUCGAGACUGAUCCCCAUGACCGAUUCGUGAUCUGACAUCAAUCCCCAACUUAGGAGACCAUAACUCCUAAUCCAAAACUUGGUAUUCGAAUUGAGACCCGACCCUGACCCUGACAUCUGAUCCAAAACAUGACUUCAACUCCCAAUUCGAGACUCGAUCCCAACCUCAACACCUGAACCAACACAAGAGCCCGACGAUCUAUUCAAAAUGCAACUCUGAGACCUAAACCUAACUUUUGCCUGAAACCUAACAUUCAAAUAAUGACCCGACCCCGACACUUGCACAAGCAUUCGAUAUGGGACCUGCCCCCGACUCCCGAUCUAGAACUCAACUUUCGAACGGGGACGGUGGGACCCAACUUGACUUCCGACCCUAGAUUCGACUUCCUACCCAACUGGGAACCUUACUUCCGAAUCGGGAUUUAAAUUUCUUAUUUUUUAAAAAAUUAAUUUUUUUUGGGGUGGGGUGAUAGGGAGUUGAGAUAGGAGUGGAAUAAAAAUAACUAAAAUAGUUAAAAUUUGAAAUAUUUGAAAAAACAAACAAACUGGGGAUGGUAGGGGUGGGCCGGUGGGGGUAAAAAUCCCAAUUUUUUUUAAAAAUUCGAGGUUUUCAAUCUUUUUUUCGUUGGGGGCUGAGGCUAGUUUGGAGGUAGGAAUUAAUAAAAUGAAAUUAUUUUUUAAAAAGAAAUUUUAAUUUUUUUAAUUUUAACUUGGAUGGGAAGGGUAGGGAUACGAGGCGAGGCAAGGAAAGAUUCGUUAUUUGAGGUUGGAGAAGAGUUUAAAUAUUUACUUUAUUUUUUAAGGUAAGUUAUCUUUUAAAAUUUGAAAAAAAAAGUUGAAUUGAAAAAUAUUUUUUAAAUAUUUAAUCCAACCGAAUAUAUCGCUCAAACACACCUGUUCUUGGCCGACGACUCAAGUCAAUGACUAUAUAUUUUCUACUAUAUUUAACUUUUGAGUACGAAAAAGAAAAUUAGGUCUAAAAUUAAUAUCACAAAGAUAAGGUAGUUGAGAAGGUUCUUUAAUACCACAACAAAAAGUACAAACAUAUUAUUUAAUUUUAGUUUCAAGAAGACUUUAUUUCUAUGUCUCCUUUUGAGUAAAUUAAUUAUCAAAGUAUGUGAUCAACGAGGAUCGAUUUGAAGUUGAGAGUACUCUUUAUUUUUAAUCAAAAGUCUUAACUGUUAAGAAACACUUUACUUUUUUUUUUCUUUUAACCAUUAAUAUGGAACUUUGUUCACACAUUUUCAUUAAUCGAACAGCAAAGAAACUAAGUUGAAUCCUAUCCUAUCUUGCCAAACCACUUACCAGUAUGAAAUAAUAUAUAUAUAUAUAUAUAUAUAUAUAUAUAUAUAUAUAUAUAUAUAUAUAUAUAUAUAUAUCGAACUUUACAAGACUUGUUUAAUUCAAAUUGAAACUUUUGAAGGUGUAUUUAGUCAACGUAGAAUUAUAAGCGAAUACUUAAGCUUCCCCUUUCACUUCGUUUUGAUGUCUAGUUAUAUUGUUCAUUUCCUCAUGUAUAAAUUACUUCCAUUUAAAAAAAAACAUUAACUUUUUUACCGUUUAUUUAAAAAAAGAACGACUUUUUAUUAUAUUCUUGAUAACAAUACUUUAAUUUCAAUUUUUCACGUGAUAUAUUUAAGAUAAUAAUAUUAAAAAAUAUUUGACAUAUUUUUAAUUUAGAAUUACUAAAUUAUUAUUUUCUUUAAAAAAACUUUAUGUUAAAUUAAAUUAGGUCAUUAUUUUCAUAAUAGAAAAAAUAUUAUAUUCUCAAAUAUUUCACUUUCAGUGCUAGAAAGUAAGGUGCAAAAAUUAAUUUUACAACCUGUCCACCAUUAAUAAUGUAUUAAUACACAUGAUUCACACAUGUUUUUUAAAUGCUUACUUCCUCUUCGAUAUACUCUCUUCUUAGUACAUUGUUUUAUUUUGGAGUAAUAUUCAGAUUUUUUUUCUUGCUUGUUUUUUAAUCGAUAUUUCUAUUGUUUAAAUUUGCCUAAUCUUUAAACAAAUGUUUAUAGUAUGUCAAAAAAAAUUCUUUUUUUACCAUGAACAAGCCACAAAAGUUUAUAGUUUGUGUAAAAAUCAAUGUCCCUAAUAUCUAGUUUAUCUUUAAGUAUCCAACUAUAUCUAUUGUCUUCUUCGUCAGCUUCAAGGAACUAGUUAAUUUUUUUCCUCGACAACAAGACUAAAUUUUCGUAUUGAUAUAACAACAAAUCCUCGUAAAUGAACAUAGUAUACACUAUAAAAUUGAAGUAGUAGAUUUUCAUAUAGAAUGGAUUAAUCCUCUCUUAUAGAUACAUUUAACAAGUUGUCAUUUAAAAAAUUAAAAAAAAAAAUUACUAAUAAAUUAAAAAUGUGAUACGGAAUUCUAGAAGUAGAGAAGUAAUGUAUUUUUUAUGUCAAGUAUAUCAUAAAAAAAAAACAACAUUAAAUGAUAUUGUAAUACUAAAACAAACGUAAUUGAUAUUUCUAAAUAAUUUUUUCCAAAUAUGAAUCACUAUCCAGAGAACUACUCCUUUUUUGAUCUAGAAAUGUAUAAUCAUGAUUUUUCUAUAGACACAUUACAUAUAUAACAUGGUUUUUUUGACAAAUAAUGUUACCAGGAGUAUUAUUUAAUUCUGUCUGCCAUAACAUUAGCGAUAAGUAAACAUAUUACUUUUCCAUAUCCCACAAGUGAGAUCACACAAAGUAUAUAUGUUACUGUUGUGAGUGAAGCGGUUGAUCAAUUCAAUUUUGCUAUUGGAAAAGUACUUAGUACCAAAUGAAACUCAAGGAGAUUUCCAUCUUCAGCUAGUCGAUUCCAAACUCCCCUAGCUAGUAGGGCUCCAUAUGAACAUUGGAACAAUAAUGAGAAAAAUGCUACUUUACAUGCAUAGACCUUUUUCUAUCGGCGAAAUGCAUUUUAUUACAUACUUUGAGAAUGAACUAAAGAUUAAAAAUUUACCUCAAAUCACAAGCAAGUUUGCCUCAAAUAGAAAUAUGAAUUUUAUAAAUAUGAGCUGAAAUUAUUAGCUUUAAUCAGUAGUACCCCAUAAUGGAGGUGAGACAAUAUUAAGCUCAUCAACACACAAAUUUCAUAACGAGGAAUCAUUUGAUGAGUCAAUAAAUAACUACAACCCAUAACAAAGAUUACUUAUUAACAUAACCGGUAAAAGUCAGAACAGUCUGUAUAACACACCAAUUUGAUGAUGUCGUCUUGUUUUUCCUCUUCUUUAUAGUCCUCUCGAAUAAAUUCAAUCACAAAACAAUCAUUAAACAACAAUAUUUUUAAAAAAUUGUCAACAAUAUCAGUGUCAAGGUUGUCGUUAUAGCACUUUAGUGCAACGUUUUUUAUUCUCUCCAAUUCAUUGAUGCAACUUUCAACAUUAAGCCCAUUUUCCCUCCGGAGAUACCGUCGUAGGUACAACAAUUUGUACUUUUUUAUGGAGCCAAAUUGAGGAUUUUUCUUGUGAUAAGGACCAAUGGAUAUUAGCAUUGGCGUAUAAGCAUCUUCAUUUGAUUUUCCUAGCCCCACAUUUAGUUUGAAUAUGAUUGCAGAUUAUGAUGCAUGUAUUGUUGUCCAAAUCCUUAAGUAUUUCAUCAUAUCUUUGAUUUAUAGAUAACACUACUUUCUUCCCUUCGCCUAUUUGUAAUUACACUAAAGUAAUCAGAACAAAACAAAAUGUAAAAAUUGCAGUGUGUCUAGUGUGGAGGACAGAAUUUUAUUUAUGUAAUUAUAAUUAUUAUAAAUGGGAACAAAAAAGUUGAAAGUUGAAAUACCAAAAUAACCUUAUAUAGUUGAGUUACUACAAUAAUACCAUUAUAUUAUUAUUAUUAUUAUUAUUAUUAUUAUUAUUAUUAUUAAAUAGUAAUUUAAGUUUCAUAACAAAAAACUUUUUACAUACCACUAAGUGCAUUUAUGAGUAUUCCUUUUGCCAUUAUCAUUGAGUUGCAUUAACAAUUUUUCUUCUUAAUUGCUGAAUUUUGAGCACUUAAAAUAGUUACCGUUUUAGAUAAAAAAACUUAACAUUAGAGCAUAUGAAGAGAGAGGUUAGAGCAUAUGGAGAGAUUCAUACAAUAUCAAUAUUUAAUUGAAGAGAAUACAUGGUUAGAUGUCACCAUUUAUUAUUUUUCACUUUUUAAUGACUUUAAUUGCUUAACUUUUUAGCUUCUACAAUUAAAUAUAUUCAUUCACAACCUUUCAUAUACACGUACAAUUUCUCUCUUUAUAAGUUAAAUAGAAAAUAUUAGUCCAUUACACUUUAUAUUUUUCACAUCUUAUAGUUCUUAUGUAAUCUUUUAUUCAUUGGUCAUUUUUUUUAUUGAUAUAUUGCUUUGUUUAAUUAACUUCUUUCAUUUGUAUGGAAAUAUAGUGUUAGAUAUUUGACAAUAUUGACAAAUCAUAUAGUUGAAGUAGUAAUCUUUUUUUUACCAAUAAAUAUAGUGUAUUCCACAUGAUUAAAAUAAAUACUUUUUAUCAAUACAAUCAAAAAUUCUUCAAAUUCUAUUGAUCUUUGCAAGUUGCAACCUUAGUUGAAUGUUUUACCAGAAACAUCAUUUUUAUCCUUUAAAUAUUGUAUAAUGCAUCAAUUAUUCUAAAAUAAUUAUAUCAUUUGAAAUGUUUGGUAUUAAAUAACAUGAGAUACACGUGCAACGUACGUGUUCGAGAACUAGUGUAAUUAUAAUUACUUAAAAAUAAGUAAGAAAUAUAUCUCAAAAUUUAACUUUUUCAUUUCUAAUAAAGACUAAGUUUUUCGAGCGAAGAAAAGAAAAUUUCUGAGGUGAAUUAUCGUAAUCAAGUGAAAUACAAGAUUCUAUAUACAUGUUUUGCAGCUACAAGAUUCUAUAUACAUGAAUAGAUACUUGAAAUAAACUAAAUUAACAUUCAACUAUUAGAACACAGUACAAAAGGGGUGGACAUGAAAAACACAUAAGCUCAUCAACAUGUAUACUUGCAAAAUUACAAUUGAGACAAUGAUGAGAAUUACUUCUUAACGGAACCUGUGAAAGCUAGUAUAGUCUGUAUAGCUGUGAGUAUGAGGAGUAUGAUGGCUGCCACAGUUGAAGCUCCUACCCAAGGAUUACUAAAAUAAUUGUGCUUCAAAUUUGCCUUCAUUCUAUUCCAUGGUUUUUUACAAUGUUCAAUUGCUUUUAUGCAUUCUUCUUUGAAAUAGAAUUCGGAAUCGAUGAAAACUCCAUUUCCGAUUUUGUUGAAGAGGGUAGCCACCUCGUUGUCCUCUCCUAUCCAGUUCUCUAUGAUUCCUUUUUGGCGAAGUAAAGUCACAUCUUUGUCCGAGUCGAUAAGAUAAUCCAUGAAAGUUGCAAAAUCACUGAAAUAUUUUGGCAUCACAUCAUAUGAUUGUUGCUCAUAAGCAAUGAGAUUCCGUAGGAGGAUUUCUGUAUCAUCUUCGACUCGAAAACUAGGGAUUUUCAUCAAUCCAUUCUCGAACUUUAUACUAUUAAAUAAAUUUGUGUUAUCGCCAAGUUUAUCUUCCUUAACGAAGGUAACUCCAGCUUCGAAAAGCUCUGUUGCAUUUGGCAUGACCUUAUGAGAUAUUGUGCUAUCUUUUGAGUCUUCCAUUGGAUUCCCAUGACAUAAAAAUUUGUGUAUGAAGUAAAUGUUUUAUAUUUUCUGCAUCAUAUUCUAUCUCUCCAAAGGAUUCAAGGGUCAUUUUUGGCCAGUUAACAAGAAAGGUAAACACAUUAUUCACCUGUAUUUCCAAUGGUAAUUCAUCAUCUUGCUUUUUCAUGCCAUGAAGCUUGUCGAGGACAAAGAAAGGAAGUUGAUUUUCUAGUAACAUCAAAUCUCGAAAUAUGUAACAAUCAUGAACAUUAAUGAUUUCUUCUUCUUCUUUUGGAUAUAAUUUACAACGCUCUCGAAUAAACUCAACCACAAAACAACCAUCAAGCAAUAACAUUUGACAAAAUUGGUUAUUAUUACCAAGGUCUUCUUUAUCUUCAUAACACUUUAUUGCUUCCUCCUUCAGUUCUUUCAAUUCAUUGAUACACCUUUCCACAUCAAGCCCCUCUUUUCGUUGAAGAAACCGUCUUAGGUAUAAUAGUUUGUGCUUUUCCAUUGGACGAAGUUGAGGAUUUUUCUUAUGGUAAAGACCAAUAGAGAUCAUCUUUGGUGUAUAAGCAUAUGGAUUUGACUCACAUAGCACUACGAUUACUUUGGAUAUGGUACAAGAUUUAAUAGACGAAUUGUCUAAAUCCUCAAACAUUUCAUCAAAGAUUUGAUUUAUAGAUUUCUUUGUUUGUGACCCUACUAGAUCAUGACCACUUGUUUCCUUUAUAUCGAUUAAAUGAUCCACUUUCCUCCCUUCUUCUAUCUGUAACAAGAUAAGAGUCAUUGCUAAAAUUCAACACAUUCACACCAUGAAUAUUUGUAAAGAUCGAUGCAUAUGUUAAAAUUUCAUGACUAGUGAAUGUGUUAGGAUGAUGAGAUAGACCUAAAAUCACAUUGAAGAAUGUGAAAAAAACUUUUUAAUAUAGUUGAGAGAGAGACCUCAUCAUUUUCACUUUGAGGAAGCAGUGGAAUUUGGUCAUCUAUUGAAGUUAUCUCAAUAGUGUGUGCCAUCCCUUUUUUCUUCAACUCUAAUUCCUACAAAAGACCAAAUUAAUGGCAAAUUGAGUUGAGGGACUAUUAGAUAUAUAACCACAUUUUAUAUUAUUGAAAAAUUAUGGAGGAUUGUUAAAAACAUAUGUAAUAGAAAUAUAAUUUAACUAUUCAUUGAGUUUUCUUUUUAUACAUGCAUCUCAAAAAUUUAAAAAAAAUUCUUUGUAUAAAAUAAUUAAAAAUUACCUACGAUAUAUUUUCUUAGAUUGGAGAGAAGAAACCAUUUUGAGCAGUUGAUUUUCCUAGUUAAAAAUCUGAAACAAGAAUUGCCAAUGUGCUCCGUUUCACUAUACUUGCCUUUAGGGGUGAGCAUUCAAUAUUCGACUUGGGAUUUUCAAAUUUUAGAUUUGAGUUAAAAAUAGGUAUCAACCAUCAAUUUUUUUAAAUUUUGAUUUGAUAAUUCGGUAACCUUUAAAAUAAACUUUGGUUUGGUUAUUGGUAUGAUAUCCGGAAAUACCCUGUAAAUAGAAUGAAUUAAAAAUAUAUAUAAUUAAUUUUUAUUUUCAAAAAUUUCACGUGACUUUAAAAAAUUACCCCUGCAUACCGGACUCAAAUAAAAAGAAUCCAAUAAUUGUAAAACCACGAUUAUAUGAAAGGAAAUAGUCUAAAAAAUUCUAUAAUCUCUUGAAAUUCAUGCACAUAUAUAGCAAAAGAUUAUAUUGUUAAUUGCCAAAAGAAAAAUGAGUUAAUGAAAUAAAAAAAUUAAUUUAUAUAGUUGAGAGUUGUUUAAAUUUUACAAAUUAGAAGAAAAAUAUUUCUUAAUAAUGUUUUGGCUUUAUUUCAGUCAAUAGAAUUCAAUGACAAAAAGAUAAAGGUCUGACAUAGUAAAUAAAUAUAAAAUGUUAUUAUUAUUAAGGUUUUAUAAUUCGUCACUCUGAGACACGUUUUCUAGAUAAUUACGUUACUCGUAAUAACGUUGGAGGCAAAGGAAAAGGCAAAUUAAAGGAUCAUUCAUAGACUCAAGGUUGAGAUUCGAGAAUUCAUCCUCUUUUUGUAAACAUAGGAAAAUUUAGUUGAUAUUUUACGGAGUAGACUAUAGAUUUAAUAAUUUUUUAAGAAAAAUAGAUAUAUAUGUAAAAAUCACUAGAAUUCUAAAGAAACAUUACUAUGAGUAACGUUUUAGCUAUAAUAAAUUGAUAGUAUUUUAGCAAAGAACGAGAAAAUGCAGAGAAUUACCAAUUUGGUUUGGCUGUUUCUUCUUUUUUGUUAACAUAUAAACCCAUAAAUGGUGUUUACUAAUGACUACUUAUUUAUUCAUAUUAUAUGAUUAUUGUUCCCAAUAAUCUCCAUAAAAAGACUAUCAUGAUUUGCAAACGAAUUCAGGUAAAUUCAUGAAAAACUUAUUUAUGAUCUGCUUAUUUCCAAGUAUGUAUCAUCUAAGUCUACUUAUUUUAUUGUGUAUACAUAUCUUGAAGGCACGAAACUAAAAAAAAAAUAAAAAUUUGAAAUUUAAAAUAUUUCAUUAUUUGCGGUUUAGUUAAUUUUUGAUGUAUUUUUUUAAAUUAAAAUGUACUGAUGGGAAGAUGUGUAGGACAUAAAUUAAGGUAGAAUAUAAGCAGGUAAGAGUGCGACUAUACUAAUAAGUAUACGGCAUUUAAAAUUACCUGAUUCAAAAUGGACUAGUUGAACUGUACUUGAGUUUCUUUUUAAAUUCUUUUUCUCUGCUCAAUUUUUAUGAAGGUGAAGGAAUAUGAGAGAUGGUUAAUAUUAAAUUGUAUAUGGGUAUACUAUAUAUAGAUUAAUUGCAAACCUGUCUAUAUUACUGACAUAUCAUAGAAUAACACUUUGAGUGUGCAUUUUGAGAAAAAGUAUAAUGGAAUAAAUAAAGUUUUAAGUAUCAUAGAAUAAAGUGUAUAGACAUUAUAUUUAAGAAAACAUAUCAUAGAAUAAUGAAAUUCUAUCCCAUUAUUUUACAUGCAGUGAUGUAAAAUAUGGAAUUAAACAAAGAUAAAUUGAAAUGAGGAAUUCAAAAACUGAGUGUCUACUAAAAUACAAAGUACAUGCAAUAAGAAAAAUUUAAAUCAUAUAUUAAAUUAAAGAUAUCUAAUAUUUUUACCGAAUUAAUAAAAUACCUCGUAAUCAAGAUAAGUAGCAGACUAGUAUUUGGUUUAGGAGAUGGAACUUUAGGUACAAUUGAGACAAUUACUACUUAAUCACAUUUAUCUAGAAUGUUGGUUAUUAAAUAUCCAUAUUAUAUUAUUACUGUUAAAUAUAAUAUAAUAGCAAUUAUAAUUAAUAUUCUCACAAUUUUUUUUAUUUGUUAUAAUGUAUUGGAUAGGAUGUUGUAUAAGACAUUUAAAAAUUACCUGAUUCAAAAUGGACUAGUUGGAUUGCACUUGAAUUUCUUCUUAAAUUAUUUUGCUCCGCUCAACUUUUAUGAAGAUGAAGGAAUAUGAGAGAUGGUAAUAUCAAAUUGUAUAUGGGCAUACUAUAUAUAGAUUAAUUGCAAACCUACCUAUAUUAUUUACAUGAAAUUGUGUGCAUUUUGAGUAAAGUAUAAUAGAAUAAAUAAAGUUUUAAGUAUAAUAGAAUAAAGUGUAUAUAGACAUUAUAUUUAAGAAAACAUAUCAUAGAAUAACACUUUGAGUGUGUGUUUAAGCCACUAUUUAUUCUAAAAUUUGAUAUCAAGUAUAAUUGAAGAACAAAAGUUUUAGGGUGUGAUCAGUAUGAUCGAAAAUUUGCUAUUUAUUAAAAAAAUAUGUGAGUUUCUUAUUUAUAUUUAAUGUUUGAUAAAUAAGUUGAAUAUAAUAUUUGGAAAUAACAUUUGUAUAAAAUCUACACAAGCACAAUUAAGGUCGGUUGGGGGUUAAAGGACGUGAGGGUAGUGGGGAUGAAGACUAUAGGCGUAUCUAAAUUUUAAUAGGAUAAGUGGAUUAUUUUGAAAAGGACUAUUUACGAUAUAUUUUCUUAGAUAGGAGAGAGGAAACCAUUUUGAGCAGUUGAUUUUUCUAGUUAAGAAUCUGAUCCAAGAAUUCACAAUAUGCUCUAUUUCACUAUACUUGCCUUUAGGGGUGGGCAUUCAGUAUUUGACUUGGGAUUUUCGAAUUUUAGAUUUGUUAAUUCGGUAAUUGAUAGUUAAAAAUAGAUACCAACCAUCAGUUUUUAAAAUUUUGGUUCAAUAAUUUGGUAACCUUUAAAUUCAACUUUAGUAUGGUACGGUAUUCAAAAAUACCGUAUUGAAGUUAUAACCAAUUGUAUUACAAAGUUAAUACGAUCUAUCCAAUUAUUUUUAUUUUUUUAUAUGUGGAGGUACGAUAAUAGAAGAUUAACAAGCAAGAAGAUAUUAAGAAGAACAAAAUUGACACAACUAACAUGUAAUUAAAAAGACAUCAAGAAAAACAAAUUACUAUUCGUCGUCAGGGCUUUGAGUUAUUUGUUCUUAUUCUCACUCAAGUGAUAUAGGUUGGGAAGUUAACAUUUUUGAAGAGGAAGAAAACAUGAUGGAGUUUUUGUGACUACAUUAAUGUAAUUUAACAUGUUAGUUGAAAACGAAGUUUGUUUGUAGCAAAUCAACUAGAAACCUAAUAAACUUGAUAUAGAUGAAGUAUACACUGACUAUUUAAUUUCUAUCAACUUAAAUAAUUUUAGAUAUGAAAUCUUCUCGAUGUUUUUUUGAUAUGUAAUGAACCCUGUGAAAGCUAAAAUAGUCUGUAUAGUUGUGAGUAUGAGAAGUAUGAUGGCUGCGACAGUUGAAGCUCCUACCCAAGGACUACUAAAAUAAUUGCGCAACAAAUUUGCCAUCAACCUAUUAAAUCUUUUUUGACAGUGUUGAGAUGUUUUUAAGGAUUCAUUAUGGUAAUAAAAGGUGGAAUACAUAGUGACCCCAUUUCCGAUUUUGUUGAAGAGGCUAGACACGUCUUUGUCCUCUCCCAUCCGGUGUUUUAUGAUUCCUUUCUGGCGAAGUAAAUUGACAUCUUUAUCUGAGUCGAUAAGGUGAUCCAUGAAAAGUGCAUAGUCACUGAAAUAUUUAGGUUGUACUUCAGAUGUUUGUUGUUCGUAAGCAAUGAGAUUUCGCACGAAGGAUUCUGUUUCAUCUACAACUUCAAAACAAGGGAUUGUCAUCAAUCCAUCCUCAAACUUAAUAUCAAACAAAUUUGUAUUACUAUUUGUAUGAUUUGAAAACCUAACUCCAGCUUCAGAAAGCUCAGUUGCAUUUGGCAUGGCCUUAGUCCACGUUGUGUCGUCUUUUGAUGUUUUCGUGGGGUUCCCAUGACAUGAAAGUAUGUGUACUGCAUGAAGUAAAUGUUUGAUAUCACCUGCGUUAGAUGCUAUCUUUAUUAAGGGUGAAUCGGAAUGUUUAUGGAUAAUUUCUUCUAUGUCAACAAAAGAAGUAAACGACUUCACAGCUUGUAUUGCCAAUGGGAUAUCAUCAUCUUGCUUUGUCAUCUCAUGAAGCUUGUCGAGGACAAAGAAAGGAAGUUGGUUUUUUAGUAACAUCAAAUCUCGGAGUAUUUGCUUAUAUAUGCAACCAAUGUCACUUUUGAUGAUUUCGUCUUCUAGUCUUGGGCCUAUCUCAACACGCUCUCGAAUAAACUCAACCACAAAACAACCAUCAAGUAACAACAUCUUGCAAAAUUCGCGGCUUCCAAUAUUGAGGUCUUCUAUAUCAUCGUAACAAUUCCUUGCUUCCUCCUCCAACUCAUUGAUGCAACUAUCCAAAUCAAGACUCUCCUUUCGUCUAAGAAACCGUCGUAGGUACAAUAGUUUGUUCUUUUGCAUUGGACGAAAUUGAGGUUUUCCAUUAUGGUAAGGACCAAUAGAGACCAUCUUUGGUGUAUAAGCAUCUGGAUUUGAUUCACGUAGCCCCACAUUUACUUUGAAUAUGCUAAUUGGUUUAACACG